AUUCUAUGAUAAGGGCACUUUCGUAAUAAUUAUUUGUACCUUUCCCAUACUUCAUACAAGGACUCAUCAUCCAAUUGUUGGAAAGUAGUGAUCUUGUUCCUCAACU
RNAcentral lists this small nucleolar RNA (106 nucleotides) under Gossypium barbadense (sea-island cotton). RNAcentral's name for it is "Plant small nucleolar RNA R71". It matches the Rfam family "Plant small nucleolar RNA R71". Rfam says of the family: R71 is a member of the C/D box family of snoRNAs containing the C (UGAUGA) and D (CUGA) box motifs. Multiple nearly identical copies of this snoRNA have been identified in Arabidopsis, and it is thought to function as a 2'-O-ribose methylation guide for 18S ribosomal RNA. RNAcentral also lists the same sequence under 1 other name. Lineage: Eukaryota; Viridiplantae; Streptophyta; Magnoliopsida; Malvales; Malvaceae. The record is from Rfam by way of RNAcentral.